GGGAAGCACAUCUUCCCUCAGUCAAAUCUUAACAUGACUGCAGACUUGUGAGUAACCACGGGCCGGAGGACCCAGAUAAGCUGAACCAGGGUGCCUGACCCACGGAAACUGUGAGAAAUAGAAAAUGUAAUGGUUUUUUAUUUUCCAAAAUAUUUUUGGUUGGAACUCCACUUGAAAAAUAAAGGCGGCCUCCUCAAAGGACGACAAGCUUCCACGAUCACGGCAACUGAAAGAAAGCAUGAAUUUCUGGGAGUAGCAUUAGGAUACAGGAUUCCUGCUGAGCUCACCAGUUCCUUGCUCUGCACAGCUGCCUUCUCAGCUGGGGAUUUUAAACCAGCACUGUGAGAAAGACAGAAAUGACCAUGAUGCAUUUUCCUCACUAUGAGAAAAAGAUUAAUCCAAAGUUGAUUGAGGGCCCACCAUGUAUUAGGCAUUGCCAUAGAAUUCCUGAAGAUCUGAACACAGUGACCACUUGGCAGAAACUUCUAGGUGCAGAAACGUCGGAAGAGAAUUUCCCAAUUGUGUCCUGAGUGGUACUGUUGCUGCAAGAUCUCCUUGCCCAACACACAGCCCAUAAUGAUGCAUCCAAGGCUAGAAGACAUUUUGUAAGACAGAAAUCUUUGCAACUUUAUGCACUUUUCAAGCUUAUCUGAGCAAAAAAAUCUCCCCCCCCCGCAUGUAAUCAUUAAUUUGUAACUUAAAUAUGUAAAAAAAAUCACUAUUAAUUUCAGCAAAAAUCUCUAUAGUUAUUUAUUAAUAAACCACAUAAAGAAAUUGUGUAUUGCUUUGCUUAAUAAAUUGAGAAGAAACUUGAGCUCACUCUGGCAGCUAUAGAGAGAGGGAACGAGUGAGGGGAAAUAAAGGUGUAAAGAGAGAGAGGGGCUGGGGUAGGGGUUCUAGAAGCGAGAAAUUCCCUGUAGUGGGGAUGGUUGAG
Molecule: long non-coding RNA, 934 nt
Filed under: Equus asinus (donkey)
Lineage: Eukaryota; Metazoa; Chordata; Mammalia; Perissodactyla; Equidae
Description: lncRNA (ENSEASG00005032971.1)
Source: RNAcentral